UUCGCCCUUAGAGUUUGAUCCUGGCUCAGGAUGAACGCUGGCGGCGUGCCUAACACAUGCAAGUCGAGCGAAGCACUUUACUUGGAUUUCUUCGGAAUGACGAGUGAUUUGACUGAGCGGCGGACGGGUGAGUAACGCGUGGGUAACCUGCCUCACACAGGGGGAUAACAGUUAGAAAUGACUGCUAAUACCGCAUAAGACCCCAGCACCGCAUGGUGCAGUGGUAAAAACUCCGGUGGUGUGAGAUGGACCCGCGUCUGAUUAGGUAGUUGGUGAGGUAACGGCUCACCAAGCCGACGAUCAGUAGCCGGCCUGAGAGGGUGGACGGCCACAUUGGGACUGAGACACGGCCCAAACUCCUACGGGAGGCAGCAGUGGGGAAUAUUGCACAAUGGGGGAAACCCUGAUGCAGCGACGCCGCGUGGAGGAAGAAGGUCUUCGGAUUGUAAACUCCUGUUGUUGAGGAAGAUAAUGACGGUACUCAACAAGGAAGUGACGGCUAACUACGUGCCAGCAGCCGCGGUAAAACGUAGGUCACAAGCGUUGUCCGGAAUUACUGGGUGUAAAGGGAGCGCAGGCGGGAAGACAAGUUGGAAGUGAAAUCUAUGGGCUCAACCCAUAAACUGCUUUCAAAACUGUUUUUCUUGAGUAGUGCAGAGGUAGGCGGAAUUCCCGGUGUAGCGGUGGAAUGCGUAGAUAUCGGGAGGAACACCAGUGGCGAAGGCGGCCUACUGGGCACCAACUGACGCUGAGGCUCGAAAGUGUGGGUAGCAAACAGGAUUAGAUACCCUGGUAGUCCACACCGUAAACGAUGAUUACUAGGUGUUGGAGGAUUGACCCCUUCAGUGCCGCAGUUAACACAAUAAGUAAUCCACCUGGGGAGUACGACCGCAAGGUUGAAACUCAAAGGAAUUGACGGGGGCCCGCACAAGCAGUGGAGUAUGUGGUUUAAUUCGAAGCAACGCGAAGAACCUUACCAGGUCUUGACAUCCGAUGCAUAGUGCGGAGAUGCAUGAAGUCCUUCGGGACAUCGAGACAGGUGGUGCAUGGUUGUCGUCAGCUCGUGUCGUGAGAUGUUGGGUUAAGUCCCGCAACGAGCGCAACCCUUAUUGCCAGUUACUACGAAAGAGGACUCUGGCGAGACUGCCGUUGACAAAACGGAGGAAGGUGGGGAUGACGUCAAAUCAUCAUGCCCUUUAUGACCUGGGCUACACACGUACUACAAUGGCGUUUAACAAAGAGAAGCAAGACCGCGAGGUGGAGCAAAACUCAAAAACAACGUCUCAGUUCAGAUUGCAGGCUGCAACUCGCCUGCAUGAAGUCGGAAUCGCUAGUAAUCGCGGAUCAGCAUGCCGCGGUGAAUACGUUCCCGGGCCUUGCACACACCGCCCGUCA
This 1395-nucleotide ribosomal RNA is filed under the name uncultured bacterium. RNAcentral describes it as "16S ribosomal RNA". It matches the Rfam family "Bacterial small subunit ribosomal RNA". The record is from RNAcentral.